AUUAAAACAGUCAAACUAGAGUAUCCACCGAGUGGCCAACAAGCUAGUACUUCUUUUCCAAACGAUAUACAUCAACUCAAAUUUACAGGGAAAUUUUUAGAGUCGUUUUCGAGAAUCGCAUCACACCCACCUAUAAAGUUAUACUCCGAAAGUGUGACUUUUAAUAAUAUAUAUAAACCUUUAUGGAUGUUAGAGAUGGUUGCAUGGUCGUGUGCUGUGCGCAGCGAACUAUCGUCACGAAGGUCCCUAGUUCAAAACGUACUCGUUGCUAUCCCCGUAGGACAUAAUAAUAUACAAUACUAUUUUUGUUUUAUCCGACUGAAGGUCCACGAUCUGCACAACAAAAAUGUGACAAUGUCACAUUCUUUUAUCAUCACAAAGAUAAUAUUAGAGACUAUUAGGGCCUAAUUGUAAUACAAACCAAGGUACUCGUGUGUCAAUGUUGAUUAUAUGUACAUUAUUUAUUUGUAUUUAUUUCCAUAUGUAUUCAGUAUUAUUGAUUGGUAGGCUGACACAAAAUACAAUUCUUGUGGGUACAAAAAGUUUAUUCAUUAUCACAAUGUCAUAUUUAUUAUGCCUAAUAAACAGCGUAAACAAACAAUGAGAGAAAAAAAAAGUGCUUGAUAAAGGUGUAUCAUGAUUGCUGGUAGAACCUCGGUUAGAAUCUCUUUCUCUCUCUCUCUCUCUCUCU
Molecule: non-coding RNA, 691 nt
Organism: Biomphalaria pfeifferi
Lineage: Eukaryota; Metazoa; Mollusca; Gastropoda; Planorbidae
Source: the annotation of a GenBank genome assembly